Molecule: ribosomal RNA, 253 nt
Filed under: uncultured bacterium
Lineage: Bacteria
Description: partial 16S ribosomal RNA
Rfam family: Bacterial small subunit ribosomal RNA
Source: RNAcentral
GACGGAGGAUGCAAGCGUUAUCCGGAAUGAUUGGGCGUAAAGCGUCCGCAGGUGGCAGUUCAAGUCUGCUGUCAAAGACCGGGGCUUAACUUCGGAAAGGCAGUGGAAACUGAACAGCUAGAGUAUGGUAGGGGCAGAGGGAAUUCCUGGUGUAGCGGUGAAAUGCGCAGAUAUCAGGAGGAACACCGAUGGCGAAGGCAGCUCGCUGGGACGGUACUGACGCUGAGGCGCGAAAGCCAGGGGAGCGAACGGG